Molecule: microRNA precursor, 82 nt
Filed under: Promicromonospora sukumoe
Lineage: Bacteria; Bacillati; Actinomycetota; Actinomycetes; Micrococcales; Promicromonosporaceae
Description: microRNA MIR1846
Source: RNAcentral
GUCAGUCACCAGGUACGGCUGACAGAGGCCCGGGUCCGCAGAACGCUGCGGACCCGGGCCUCUGUCGUACCCGCGGCUCAGA